UACGGAGGGUGCAAGCGUUAAUCGGAAUUACUGGGCGUAAAGCGUGCGUAGGUGGUUCGUUAAGUCCGUUGUGAAAGCCCCGAGCUCAACUUGGGAAUUGCAGUGGAUACUGGCGAGCGGGAGUGCGGUAGAGGAAGGUGGAAUUCCCGGUGUAGCGGUGAAAUGCGUAGAGAUCGGGAGGAACACCAGUGGCGAAGGCGGCCUUCUGGACCAGCACUGACACUCAAGCACGAAAGCGUGGGGAGCAAACAGG
Molecule: ribosomal RNA, 253 nt
Filed under: uncultured bacterium
Lineage: Bacteria
Description: partial 16S ribosomal RNA
Rfam family: Bacterial small subunit ribosomal RNA
Source: RNAcentral